GAUGAACGCUGGCGGCGUGCCUAAUACAUGCAAGUCGAGCGAACGGACGAGAAGCUUGCUUCUCUGAUGUUAGCGGCGGACGGGUGAGUAACACGUGGAUAACCUACCUAUAAGACUGGGAUAACUUCGGGAAACCGGAGCUAAUACCGGAUAAUAUUUUGAACCGCAUGGUUCAAAAGUGAAAGACGGUCUUGCUGUCACUUAUAGAUGGAUCCGCGCUGCAUUAGCUAGUUGGUAAGGUAACGGCUUACCAAGGCAACGAUGCAUAGCCGACCUGAGAGGGUGAUCGGCCACACUGGAACUGAGACACGGUCCAGACUCCUACGGGAGGCAGCAGUAGGGAAUCUUCCGCAAUGGGCGAAAGCCUGACGGAGCAACGCCGCGUGAGUGAUGAAGGUCUUCGGAUCAUAAAACUCUGUUAUUAGGGAAGAACAUAUGUGUAAGUACCUGUGCACAUCUUGACGGUACCUAAUCAGAAAGCCACGGCUAACUACGUG
RNAcentral lists this ribosomal RNA (497 nucleotides) under uncultured bacterium. RNAcentral describes it as "partial 16S ribosomal RNA". It matches the Rfam family "Bacterial small subunit ribosomal RNA", at positions 28 to 507 of the family's 1533-position model. The record is from RNAcentral.